GUUUCCGUAGUUUAGCGGUUAUCACGUUCGCCUCACACGCGAAAGGUCCCCAGUUCGAAACUGGGCGGAAACA
Molecule: transfer RNA, 73 nt
Filed under: Anguilla anguilla (European eel)
Lineage: Eukaryota; Metazoa; Chordata; Actinopteri; Anguilliformes; Anguillidae
Rfam family: tRNA
About the family: Transfer RNA (tRNA) molecules are approximately 80 nucleotides in length. Their secondary structure includes four short double-helical elements and three loops (D, anti-codon, and T loops).
Source: Rfam by way of RNAcentral